This 377-nucleotide ribosomal RNA is filed under the name uncultured eukaryote. RNAcentral describes it as "partial 18S ribosomal RNA". It matches the Rfam family "Eukaryotic small subunit ribosomal RNA", at positions 592 to 976 of the family's 1831-position model. The record is from RNAcentral.
CAAUAGCGUAUAUUAAAGUUGUUGCAGUUAAAAAGCUCGUAGUUGGAUUUCGGGGCAGCCUGGCUGGUCCGCCGCAAGGCGAGUACUGGUCAGCCGCCCUUCCUCUCGAAAGCCCCGACUGCUCUUCGUUGCAGUGGUCGGGUAGUUCGGGACGUUUACUUUGAAAAAAUUAGAGUGUUCAAGGCAGGCCUACGCCUGAAUACAUUAGCAUGGAACAAUGGAAGAGGACCUCGGUCCUAUUUUGUUGGUUUCCAGGGCCGAAGUAAUGAUUAAGAGGGACAGUUGGGGGCAUUCGUAUUUAAUUGUCAGAGGUGAAAUUCUCGGAUUUAUGAAAGACGAACAACUGCGAAAGCAUUUGCCAAGGAUGUUUUCAUUAA